Molecule: ribosomal RNA, 500 nt
Filed under: uncultured bacterium
Lineage: Bacteria
Description: partial 16S ribosomal RNA
Rfam family: Bacterial small subunit ribosomal RNA
Source: RNAcentral
AUUGAACGCUAGCGGCAUGCCUUACACAUGCAAGUCGAACGGCAGCACGGGGGCAACCCUGGUGGCGAGUGGCGAACGGGUGAGUAAUAUAUCGGAACGUGCCCAGUCGUGGGGGAUAACGUAGCGAAAGUUACGCUAAUACCGCAUACGAUCUACGGAUGAAAGCGGGGGAUCGCAAGACCUCGCGCGAUUGGAGCGGCCGAUAUCAGAUUAGGUAGUUGGCGAGGUAAAUGCUCACCAAGCCAACGAUCUGUAGCCGGUCUGAGAGGACGACCAGCCACACUGGGACUGAGACACGGCCCAGACUCCUACGGGAGGCAGCAGUGGGGAAUUUUGGACAAUGGGCGCAAGCCUGAUCCAGCCAUUCCGCGUGCAGGACGAAGGCCUUCGGGUUGUAAACUGCUUUUGUACGGAACGAAAAAGCCUUGGCUAAUACCCAGGGUCCAUGACGGUACCGUAAGAAUAAGCACCGGCUAACUACGUGCCAGCCGCCGCAGUAA